Molecule: long non-coding RNA, 759 nt
Filed under: Rattus norvegicus (Norway rat)
Lineage: Eukaryota; Metazoa; Chordata; Mammalia; Rodentia; Muridae
Description: long non-coding RNA NONRATT001313
Source: RNAcentral
CUGACAUGAAGUUGGGAAGAGGCAUGAUGGGGGUCAGGGGUUAUCUGGAGGAGUUGGAGCAGGAAGUGUAGGUGGAUAUAAUCAAAAUACGUUGUAAACAUAUAUGGAACUUUCAAAGAAUAAAUUAAGCUGGGCACGGUGGCACCUGCCUUUAAUCCCAGCACUAUGGGAUCAGAGUUCAAAGCCAGCUUGGUCUAUAGGAUGAGUUCCAGGACAGCCAGAGCUACACAGAGAUACCCUGUCUCAAAACAAAACAAAACAAAACAACAAUAACAACAACAACAAAAACCCAGAAGACAAAAGCAAAAGAAUAAAUUAAGAACAUUACUUAAAAUUAUUACAGUUGUCAAAAUUCCUUCAUAACUGUGUACUUAAUUCUUCCUAAAUUUCAGAACUGAGAAGAUGUUGGACCACUCAUCCUGCUUCCUCCUGGGAAAAUCUGAGCCCUGAUCUCUCCAGGUGGCCAUUGGUUGACUCACUGGCACCCCCUGCUGUCGGAGAUGUAGAAACCUGAAAAUGAUACAAGAAGAAAGUGCCAAAACCUGGAAGCUGUGUGCAAAAAUGUCCAUAGCAUUUUAUUCAGAGCAGACACAAAUUAGAAUAUUUCCCAGUGUCCCUCUACAGGAAGGCAGGCACACAACGGUAACUUCACAGUGCAUCACAGCAUCAAAACGUGUGGUGGGCAAAGCUUCUCAUCACAAGGGGGUCGGGAAGGAAAGGCAGAGCUGAGAGAUCUAGAACAAUACAAAUACUUCUUUU